Molecule: ribosomal RNA, 253 nt
Filed under: uncultured bacterium
Lineage: Bacteria
Description: partial 16S ribosomal RNA
Rfam family: Bacterial small subunit ribosomal RNA
Source: RNAcentral
UACGAGCGGCCCAAACGUUAUUCGGAUUUACUGGGCUUAAAGAGUUCGUAGGCGGCGCGGAAAGUAGGGUGUGAAAGCCCUCGGCUCAACCGAGGAAUUGCGCCCUAAACUGUCGCGCUCGAGGAACCUAGAGGUGAGCAGAACUGAUGGUGGAGCGGUGAAAUGCGUUGAUAUCAUCAGGAAUACCGGAGGCGAAGGCGGCUCACUGGGGGUUAUCUGACGCUGAGGAACGAAGGCCAGGGGAGCAAACGGG